RNAcentral lists this transfer-messenger RNA (368 nucleotides) under Parvularculaceae bacterium. It matches the Rfam family "Alphaproteobacteria transfer-messenger RNA". Rfam says of the family: Bacterial tmRNA, also known as 10Sa RNA or SsrA, is named for its dual tRNA and mRNA-like properties. Lineage: Bacteria; Pseudomonadati; Pseudomonadota; Alphaproteobacteria; Parvularculales; Parvularculaceae. The record is from RNAcentral.
GGCCUUCAAAAUUUAUCAGUCUUCGCCUAUAUGGUGUGCGCCGGAGCGAUCCGGCUAUGGCGAUAAACGGCCCGUGCAAUAAGCGGUUCGGACCCGGGGGCGGUACCCGGCGGCUCCACCCAAGUCUCUCUCGCAAGCGGCGACGGAGAUUUCGGCGGGGCCGAAAUAGGAUCGACGAGCGUGUAAAGACGACGCUUUCGCCCGGGUGAUCUCCGUUAUUGGAUCACAUGCAAUAGUUGCCAACGACAACUAUAAGCAAGAGUUCGCCCUCGCUGCGUAAUGCGGCUGGGUGAUCUCACCUUCAAGUCCUGACCGUUUUGCACGGUCAGGCGGGGCCCCCCGGCGCCUGGCAACAGAAGCCGGGGACU